Molecule: transfer RNA, 73 nt
Organism: Ovis aries (sheep)
Lineage: Eukaryota; Metazoa; Chordata; Mammalia; Artiodactyla; Bovidae
Rfam family: tRNA
About the family: Transfer RNA (tRNA) molecules are approximately 80 nucleotides in length. Their secondary structure includes four short double-helical elements and three loops (D, anti-codon, and T loops). Further hydrogen bonds mediate the characteristic L-shaped molecular structure. tRNAs have two regions of fundamental functional importance: the anti-codon, which is responsible for specific mRNA codon recognition, and the 3' end, to which the tRNAs corresponding amino acid is attached (by aminoacyl-tRNA synthetases). tRNAs cope with the degeneracy of the genetic code in two manners: having more than one tRNA (with a specific anti-codon) for a particular amino acid; and 'wobble' base-pairing, i.e. permitting non-standard base-pairing at the 3rd anti-codon position.
Source: Rfam
UCCCUGGUGGUCCAGUGGUUAGGACUUUGUACUUUCACUGCCGAGGGCCUGGGUUCUAUCCCUGGUCAGGGAA